RNAcentral lists this ribosomal RNA (470 nucleotides) under uncultured bacterium. RNAcentral's name for it is "SSU rRNA". It matches the Rfam family "Bacterial small subunit ribosomal RNA", at positions 26 to 523 of the family's 1533-position model. The record is from RNAcentral.
AGCCUGAACGCUGGCGGCGUGGCUAAGACAUGCAAGUCGAACGGAUGUAGCAAUACAUCAGUGGCGAACGGGUGAGUAAUGUAUCGCUAACGUGCCCUGGACUCUGGGAUAGCUACUCGAAAGGGUAGGUAAUACCAGAUAAUAUGACCUGGUUGCAUGACCGGGUUCUCAAAGGUCCGCUGGUUCGGGAGCGGGCGAUAUCGUAUCAGCUAGUUGGUAGGGUAAUGGCCUACCAAGGCAACGACGCGUAGCCGGACUGAGAGGUUGGCCGGCCACAUUGGGACUGAGACACUGCCCAGACUCCUACGGGGGGCUGCAGUAACGAAUCUUCCGCAAUGCACGAAAGUGUGACGGAGCGACGCCGCGUGUGGGACGAAGUUCUUCGGAAUGUAAACCACUGUCAGGGGUUAGAAAGUUCUGAUCAACCCCAGAGGAAGGCACGGCUAACUCUGCGCCAGCAGCCGCGGUAA